RNAcentral lists this ribosomal RNA (442 nucleotides) under uncultured bacterium. RNAcentral describes it as "SSU rRNA". It matches the Rfam family "Bacterial small subunit ribosomal RNA", at positions 26 to 518 of the family's 1533-position model. The record is from RNAcentral.
AGAACGAACGCUGGCGGCAGGCCUAAUACAUGCAAGUCGAACGCACCUUCGGGUGAGUGGCGGACGGGUGAGUAACACGUGGGAACGUGCCCUUUGGUUCGGAACAACACAGGGAAACUUGUGCUAAUACCGGAUAAGCCCUUCGGGGGAAAGAUUUAUCGCCAUUGGAGCGGCCCGCGUCUGAUUAGCUUGUUGGUGAGGUAAAGGCUCACCAAGGCUACGAUCAGUAGCUGGUCUGAGAGGAUGAUCAGCCACACUGGGACUGAGACACGGCCCAGACUCCUACGGGAGGCAGCAGUAGGGAAUCUUGCGCAAUGGGCGAAAGCCUGACGCAGCCAUGCCGCGUGGAUGAUGAAGGUCUUAGGAUUGUAAAAUCCUUUCAGCGGGGAAGAUAAUGACGGUACCGCAGAAGAAGCCCGGCUAACUUCGUGCCAGCAGCCGC